Molecule: long non-coding RNA, 1049 nt
Organism: Gigantopelta aegis
Lineage: Eukaryota; Metazoa; Mollusca; Gastropoda; Neomphalida; Peltospiridae
Exons: 4
Source: RefSeq, a predicted model, not a curated record
GGUUGGCAUAUCUACCGUCCAACUCCCAGACAUGAACUGUGAUUCCACACUGACUAUAGACACACAGAGGAAGUUGAUUUAUAGUUGUGUAAAUGAGAACAAUUCAAUCGGGUAUGGAGAAAAUAUUGUACGCAAUAUUACUCAAUCUAGUAAUUUGAUUGAGCUGGAAACAAGCAAUGCACCCAUAAAAAGCACUUACUGUCUACUCAUCUACAGUAAAGGAGGCGGAGGUUCGUUGACUCUUCAGUGUUAUUCGCCAGACGGUAGGUCGAUGACGAGCUCAACCCAAUCAGACGACAAAACCACCUCAUAGAUCCACAACACCAGGUUCAACACGAAGAGAAUCAACCAAGUCAGAGAAAGCACAUGUGACAGUUGCACCGCCAACAGAGCCAACCAAGUCCACGAUAGCAGAUACUCGUACGACAGUUUGUGAAGAGAAAACGAACAGACAAUCAGGCGCAGAAGAUUUUCCAGUUGCGGCUGCUGUAGGUGGUGCCGUUGGUGCAGUUCUGAUAGUCGCCGUAGUGGUUGUUGCGAUUAUCAUUUAUAUAAGGAAGAAACGAACAAAAGGCAAACAAAACGCCGGUGAUGAUGACGAUGGUGAUUACGUCAUUAGGGAUGUUAACCCUAACAACGCUGAUACGAAUCGUAGCCCUUCCGUCGCUAAUAACAAUGUUAAUCGUCAUAAUAAUGUGAACAUUGUUGGUAACACUUACGAACAUCUACAGCACAAUACUGUACAGUAUGUUAACACGCCGUCGAGUGUUGAUGAAGACCACGUGUACCUCCACGUCAAUGAUCCAACACAGUCACAGAUCUCAGAUCAAGAUUAUUAUAACACUGCCAACCUGAUUGGAUGAAACAGUUUAGAUUCAUACUAGUUUAUGUUCGACUUCGUUUGUGAAGGGCGGGACGUAGCUCAGUGAUAAAACUCGAUCGGUCUAAGAUCGAUCCCUGUCGUCAGACUCACUGAGCUAUUUCUCGUUGUAACAAAAGCCGUGGUAUGUACUAUCCUGUCUGGGAUCAUGUAUAUGAAAGGUCCUGUC